UACGGAGGGUGCAAGCGUUAUCCGGAUUCACUGGGUUUAAAGGGUGCGUAGGCGGGUAGAUAAGCCCGUGGUGAAAUCUCUGAGCUUAACUCAGAAACUGCCAUGGAUACUAUUUGUCUUGAAUAUUGUGGAGGUAAGCGGAAUAUGUCAUGUAGCGGUGAAAUGCUUAGAUAUGACAUAGAACACCAAUUGCGAAGGCAGCUUACUACACAGUUAUUGACGCUGAGGCACGAAAGCGUGGGGAUCAAACAGG
RNAcentral lists this ribosomal RNA (253 nucleotides) under uncultured bacterium. RNAcentral describes it as "partial 16S ribosomal RNA". It matches the Rfam family "Bacterial small subunit ribosomal RNA", at positions 524 to 776 of the family's 1533-position model. The record is from RNAcentral.